CUUGAGACAGUUUUAUUUGGAGCCUAGAUUUAGCAGGACUUACCAACCGCUUAGAGCAAAGGUUGCAGAUUCGCCAAAGGAAAAAUAAAAUUAAAUUAAAAGUGGAAUAGAAACAUUUCAUUGAAAUUCUAGCACACAAGAAACUCUUAGAUCAGUGAGCUGUAUAUACCAUUCCUUGCCACUCGAGGAGGAAAAAAUAAAAUAAAAA
Non-coding RNA from Pelobates cultripes (western spadefoot toad), 208 nucleotides. The record is from the annotation of a GenBank genome assembly. Lineage: Eukaryota; Metazoa; Chordata; Amphibia; Anura; Pelobatidae.